Molecule: long non-coding RNA, 936 nt
Organism: Rhopalosiphum padi (bird cherry-oat aphid)
Lineage: Eukaryota; Metazoa; Arthropoda; Insecta; Hemiptera; Aphididae
Exons: 3
Source: RefSeq, a predicted model, not a curated record
ACGAGAAUAUAUAUAUAAUAUAUUAAAAUAAUAUAAUAAUAUAAUAAUAUAAUUAUUUAUUAUAAUAAUAUUUUUUAUUCAUUAAUUUAUAAGUAUUAUUCUUAUAUUACUACAAUAUUGUGUAUAAUAUUUAUAAUUAAUGAUUAUAAUAAUUAAAAAUAUUCAUUAACGUAUUAAUGAUAAAUGUAGUAUUCUAGAUAAAGGUUGUACUAGAUAUUUCUAUGGACGUCUGCAGACAAUGCCGUAUUUAAAGCAGCGAGCGUCAUGCGAGACCUCCGCGGUGGCUUGUCGAGCGUCCGGUCGCUUCAUCCAAUAGUGACAACUUAAAUAGGGCAAGUGUCAAAUAUUGACACUUUUACAGUAAUGGCGACUCUUUACACUUUACAGUGAUGAAAACUGCGCAAAAGGUGAGUGAUAGAGUUAUCGAUACGAAUGUCAGAAGCGCCAGGAUUGAAGAUUACUCAGUUUCUGCAGGUGAUAUGCGACCACAAAGCCUUUGAGGCUAUAAAACAAUUAUAGAGACACCAAGAUGAAGGUGUGUUGCGGCGUGAACCGCUGACUUUUUUUUCAUAUCACAACAAUCCCACAUGGGCCGCAUGCUGAGCUACGCCAUCGGUUGCCGCAUUUUCCUCAAUACCUACCACCACCUGAGUUAUCGUUAUGGUCAAUUUAUAAUUGACUAUAAAGGGCAAAUCCCACACUCACGUUUUUUGUGGUUUACUAAAAUGUAUGUGAUAAUAAGGAAAAUAAUAACAAAGCUUAGGCCCUGCUAAAUUGUUUACGUUUAGUAAAAACAAAUAUUGGUUUUAACAUAGAUAUCUGAUAUUUAUAAAAUGAACGUCCUAUGGACGCAUGUGUGAUAUUUUGGUGUUGUGUGUAUAGAAAUUAAAAAGUGUUAUAACUUAUAAGUAACUUUUAAGAUUCAUGACUUUCAGA